UUGUUAUCAAGUUGAUGAGAAAAACAAUAUUGUUUUGUUAUUUGUCGUUUUGCUUAGGUUGUAGUUUCCAAGAACCUGUCAACAACAUCAAGUGAGGAUUUACAGUACUGCUUCUGCCAUCUUUCUCAUGGUACUUGUUUGUCAGAGGAAGAAGUGGUGGAGGGACUGAAGGGGCCCUUGGAGACCAUUCCGCCUGUAUCCAUGAGGAGACCAGAGCCCUGAGCAGUGAGCUCUUAACUGACUGUGGAGAAGCCCUUCGGUUCUGGAAACCCUUGAUUCCUGGCUGAAAGCUGCUCUGUGAACAUGAAGAGUCUCCUUUUUUGACCACCUUCCUUCUGGUACCCCAGCCAGUAAAUGGUUCUUGUGACUUAGAAGCUGUUCAUCUUUGCCUGGACACUCAAAUGGGCCUUUCCAUGGGAGCAGAGACACUGAAAUGGAUGAAAUUGACACUGAAAUCUAUGCAGAUUCUGUUGU
Molecule: long non-coding RNA, 474 nt
Filed under: Macaca fascicularis (crab-eating macaque)
Lineage: Eukaryota; Metazoa; Chordata; Mammalia; Primates; Cercopithecidae
Description: lncRNA (ENSMFAG00000051222.1)
Source: RNAcentral